Molecule: long non-coding RNA, 215 nt
Organism: Musca vetustissima
Lineage: Eukaryota; Metazoa; Arthropoda; Insecta; Diptera; Muscidae
Exons: 2
Source: RefSeq, a predicted model, not a curated record
GCCCAUUGUGCAAAGAGAAAUCAGAUGCUACAGAUUUAAGUUCAUCGGGUAUUUUCGAUAGUCUGAAUUGUCUACUGUCCUGUCUGUCGUGCUGUUUCCCGAUUUUCACUCUCUCGUGUCUGUACACGAUGUGCUGCCAGGAUAUUGUUACGGAUCAUCGAAAAUGCUGCACGAAAUGUGGUGGCCAUUUGGGUUUCUAUGCCAGGCCCCAUUAG